CGGAAUGGGUGAGUAACACGUGNUUAAUCUACCUUUUAGAUUGGAAUACCCAUUGGAAACAAUGGCUAAUGCCGGAUACGCAUGGAACCGCAUGGUUCCGUUGUGAAAGGCGCUGUAAGGCGCCACUAAAAGAUGAGGGUGCGGAACAUUAGUUAGUUGGUGAGGUAAUGGCCCACCAAGACUAUGAUGUUUAGCCGGGUCGAGAGACUGAACGGCCACAUUGGGACUGAGAUACGGCCCAAACUCCUACGGGAGGCAGCAGGA
This 264-nucleotide ribosomal RNA is filed under the name uncultured Mycoplasma sp. RNAcentral's name for it is "partial 16S ribosomal RNA". It matches the Rfam family "Bacterial small subunit ribosomal RNA", at positions 98 to 354 of the family's 1533-position model. The record is from RNAcentral. Lineage: Bacteria; Bacillati; Mycoplasmatota; Mollicutes; Mycoplasmatales; Mycoplasmataceae.